Molecule: unclassified non-coding RNA, 383 nt
Filed under: uncultured Gammaproteobacteria bacterium
Lineage: Bacteria; Pseudomonadati; Pseudomonadota; Gammaproteobacteria
Description: contains 16S-23S intergenic spacer region
Source: RNAcentral
UCCGGUUUAGACCGGCGGUCUCCCUAGAGAAUUCAACUAAGGACAAGGGUUGCGCUCGUUGCGGGACUUAACCCAACACCUCACGGCACGAGCUGACGACAGCCAUGCAGCACCUGUGGUCGGUUCCGGACUGGAUACCGUUGGCCGGCCGUUUCCGGCGGCUACUUCCGACCCCUUUCGGACAUGUCAAGCCCAGGAUAAGGUUCUUCGCGUAGCCUCGAAUUAAGCCACAUGCUCCACCGCUUGUGUGAGCCCCCGUCAAUUCCUUUGAGUUUCAGUCUUGCGACCGUACUCCCCAGGCGGCGAACUUAACGCGUUAGCUUCGAUACUGCGUGCCAAAUUGCACCCAACAUCCAGUUCGCAUCGUUUAGGGCGUGGACUAC